GACGAACGCUGGCGGCGUGCUUAACACAUGCAAGUCGAACGGUGAAGCGCCUUCCUUUUUGGUGGGUGUGGAUGAGUGGCGAACGGGUGAGUAACACGUGAGUAACCUGCCCCCUUCUUCUGGAUAACCGCAUGAAAGUGUGGCUAAUACGGGAUAUUCUGGGUCUGUCGCAUGAUGGGUCUGGGAAAGAUAUUGUUUCGGUGGGGGAUGGGCUGGCGGCCUAUCAGCUUGUUGGUGGGGUGAUGGCCUACCAAGGCGGUGACGGGUAGCCGGCCUGAGAGGGUGGACGGUCACACUGGGACUGAGGCACGGCCCAGACUGCUACGGGAGGCAGCAGUGGGGAAUAUGGCACAAUGGGCGCAAGCCUGAUGCAGCGACGCCGCGUGAGGGAUGGAGGCCUUCGGGUUGUGAACCUCUUUCGCCAGUGAAGCAGGCCUGCCUCGUUUGUGGGUGGGUUGACGGUAGCUGGAUAAGAAGCGCCGGCUAACUACGUG
This 494-nucleotide ribosomal RNA is filed under the name uncultured bacterium. RNAcentral describes it as "partial 16S ribosomal RNA". It matches the Rfam family "Bacterial small subunit ribosomal RNA", at positions 28 to 507 of the family's 1533-position model. The record is from RNAcentral.